CCUACGGGGUGCAGCAGUGGGGAAUCUUCCGCAAUGGGCGAAAGCCUGACGGAGCAACGCCGCGUGAUCGAAUGAAGGCCUUCGGGUUGUAAAGAUCUGUUGACAGGGACGAAUAAGCAAUGCAAAUAGUUUUGUGUAUGACGGUACCUGUUUAGAAAGCUCCGGCUAACUACGUGCCAGCAGCCGCGGUAAUACGUAGGGAGCAAGCGUUGUCCGGAAUUACUGGGCGUAAAGGGCGCGUAGGUGGGCGCGUAAGUCAGGUGUGAAAUCUCCGGGCUCAACCUGGAGACUGCACUUGAAACUGCGUGGCUGGAGUGCAGGAGGGGCAGGCGGAAUUGCUGGUGUAGCGGUGAAAUGCGUAGAUAUCAGGAGGAACACCGGUGGCGAAGGCGGCCUGCUGGACUGCAACUGACGUUGAGGCCCGAAAGCGUGGGGAGCAAACAGGAUUAGAUACCCCAGUAGUC
This 464-nucleotide ribosomal RNA is filed under the name uncultured bacterium. RNAcentral's name for it is "partial 16S ribosomal RNA". It matches the Rfam family "Bacterial small subunit ribosomal RNA", at positions 338 to 795 of the family's 1533-position model. The record is from RNAcentral.